Molecule: ribosomal RNA, 747 nt
Filed under: Triticum aestivum (bread wheat)
Lineage: Eukaryota; Viridiplantae; Streptophyta; Magnoliopsida; Poales; Poaceae
Description: partial small subunit ribosomal RNA
Source: RNAcentral
GAGUUGGUGUGUUGGAACGUGCGCGGCUUGAAUAGCCCGGCCAAGAAAAAGGCGCUGCGUGAAUUUGCGGACUCGGUGCACCCGGCUAUUUUUUGUAUCCAGGAGACUAAACUUGCUUGUAUUAACACUUUUACCAUUAUGCAAUGUCUUGGCCUGUCUUAUGAUGGGUAUUACUACUUGCCGGCUACGGAUAUGAGGGGUGGGAUCCUUUUAGCUUGGAAUGUGGUGCUGAUCAACAUUACGAACUAUGUUAGAGACACACAUUGCAUCACAGGGUACAUCUCUCCGCUGGAUGGUACGCCUUGGUGGCUAACAACGGUCGAUGGACCGCAAGAGGAUCAGGAUAAGUUGUUGUUCCUUGAGGAGCUAGCAGCGAGGAGGGAGCUGUGCCCGGGUCCCUGGAUGAUCAUUGGUGACUUUAAUAUGAUACUCCAAGCCUCAAACAAGAAUAACUCGCUUCUGUACAGGAGGACAAUGCAUAGAUUCCGUCAGUUUGUCGAUGGCAAUGGGCUCAAGGAGCUGUACAUGCACGGGCGGGCAUUUACUUGGAGCAAUGAAAGAGAGGUCCCCACGCUCACAAAAAUUGAUAAGGCACUUGUCUCGGUGGACUGGGAGCUUGCUUACCCGGACUGCUUGCUCCAAGCCAUGUCAACGUCGACCUCGGAUCACUGCCCUCUGCACCUUGCCUUGACCGAGCACACACUAGUGCAGAACCGGGCAAUAGCACCGGUUCAUAAGGCCCUUUAG